This 889-nucleotide ribosomal RNA is filed under the name uncultured Planctomycetota bacterium. Its description in RNAcentral is "bacterial SSU rRNA". It matches the Rfam family "Bacterial small subunit ribosomal RNA", at positions 28 to 895 of the family's 1533-position model. Lineage: Bacteria; Pseudomonadati; Planctomycetota. The record is from RNAcentral.
AACGAACGCUAGCGGCGCGUCUGAUUCAUGCAAGUCGAGCGAGAAAGCUCCCUUCGGGGGGCGAGUAAAGCGGCGAACUGCUGAGUAAUACGCAGGCAACCUGCCCGUGAGACUGGGAUAACCCGCCGAAAGGCGGGCUAAUACCGGAAUUAUGGCCGGUCGCAUGACCGGUUAUGAAACGGUUUACCUCUUCGGAGGUUCUCUGCUCGCGGAUGGGCCUGCGGCCUAUUAGCUUGUUGGUGAGGUAGUGGCUCACCAAGGCGAUGAUGGGUAGCCGACCUGAGAGGGUGAUCGGCCAGACUGGGACUGAGACACCGCCCAGACUCCUACGGGAGGCAGCAGAGGAGAAUCAUCCGCAAUGGGCGCAAGCCUGACGGUGCGACGCCGCGUGGGGGAAGAAGGCCUUUGGGUCGUAAACUCCUGUCAGAGGUCAAGAAACGGUGGAGGGUUAAUAGCCCUUCGUCCUGACUAGCCUCAAAGGAAGGGCCGGCUAACUUCGUGCCAGCAGCAGCGGUAAUACGGAGGGCUCAAGCGUUGUUCGGAAUCAUUGGGCGUAAAGGGCGUCUAGGCGGAUCUGUCAGUCGGGUGUGAAAUCCCUCGGCCCAACCGGGGAAUUGUGUCCGAUACUGCAGGUCUUGAGUGCGGCAGAGGAGAGUGGAACUCCUGGUGGAGCGGUGAAAUGCGUAGAUAUCAGGAGGAACGCCGGAGGCGAAAGCGAUUCUCUGGGCCGUUACUGACGCUGAAGCGCGAAAGCCAGGGGAGCGAACGGGAUUAGAUACCCCGGUAGUCCUGGCCGUAAACGAUGGGCACUAGGUAUGGGAGGUUCUGACACCGUCCGUGCCGUAGCUAACGCGUUAAGUGCCCCGCCUGGGGAGACGGUCGCAAGGCU